CUAUCCCUUCGUCCCCCUCUCGCGACGGUCACUCGAGAGUCAACAGACAUUUCUGCCCACCCUCUCCCUAGACCAGAACUAAAACCUCGAAGCCCCCUGAUGUUGUCACCCACUCCCGUCUCUCUCAAAGUCGAGACACUCCGAGGACGGAUAUUCUCUACCGACUACCAUAAGUAAAGCCAAGGCUGAAGGUAGUUUCUUUUUUGGGUAAGGAUUUGUUGCUGCAAAGGUCACCAUUAGUGAUGAAGAAACAAAGGUGGCAAAGAAGGAGGAAGUUGAAAAGGAGGAGGAACAAGCAGUCUUGUCUCUAAGGUGUUGUCCAAUGGUUCUGUUUUUGCCUGAAAGGAGUAAAAAGAACACAAAGGGCAUAAGAUUAAUGGUGUGAAAUUAAUGGUGGGCAAAGGAUUGGUGGUGGCGGAACUGAUGCACGACGGAACUGGUGUCCUGCGGUGGUGCAAAGCGACGGAGAUGGUGCGAAUCGACAAUCUAAAAUACUGAAGGGGGCUUUUGGCCGAGAGUCGAGACAAAGCUUCUCUUCGAUUUAUUUUUUGCUUCUGAGAGUUUACUACAAUGUGAUGAGGUUAUUUUAAUUUAUGUGAAAUUGCUGACGUGGUUGAAUAUUAGUGGUGGCUGUUAAACCCAUAGUUUCGGAUGGACCGCUUCAAAGCGGAACUGUUAUUAU
Juglans microcarpa x Juglans regia is the source of this 682-nucleotide long non-coding RNA. RefSeq lists it as uncharacterized. The record is from RefSeq and is a predicted model, not a curated record. The transcript has 2 exons. Lineage: Eukaryota; Viridiplantae; Streptophyta; Magnoliopsida; Fagales; Juglandaceae.